Molecule: ribosomal RNA, 373 nt
Filed under: uncultured bacterium
Lineage: Bacteria
Description: bacterial SSU rRNA
Rfam family: Bacterial small subunit ribosomal RNA
Source: RNAcentral
GGAGGGUGCAAGCGUUGUUCGGAAUUAUUGGGCGUAAAGCGCGUGUAGGCGGUCUGUUAAGUCUGAUGUGAAAGCCCCGGGCUCAACCCGGGAAGUGCAUUGGAAACUGGCAGACUUGAGUACGGGAGAGGGUAGUGGAAUUCCGAGUGUAGGGGUGAAAUCCGUAGAUAUUCGGAGGAACACCGGUGGCGAAGGCGGCUACCUGGACCGAUACUGACGCUGAGACGCGAAAGCGUGGGGAGCAAACAGGAUUAGAUACCCUGGUAGUCCACGCCGUAAACGAUGGGUACUAGGUGUUGCGGGUAUUGAUCCCUGCAGUGCCGAAGCUAACGCAUUAAGUACCCCGCCUGGGGAGUACGGCCGCAAGGCUAAA